GCGAAUCAAUUGCGCACCUUCAGGAGCGCGUACGUGGCCGUCAGGAAGACACAAGUCGCGGGACGCGGAGAUAUUUUCUCUUGCGAGAGGCGCGUGCACGCUCAGAGUUCAGAUCGAGGGCCUCCACUUGCCCCCGUGCCAGCAGUCCAGUUCAGAUCCACCGCCUCCAUCCCCAUCGAGCACAAUCCACCUCGCCGUUGACUGCUGCCUCCCUCCCCAUGGAGCGCCGUCCACCCUGCCGUUGACGGCCGCCUCCCUCCCCAUGAAGCGCCGUCCACCUCGCCGUUGACGGCCGCCUCCCUCCCCAUGGAGCGCCAUCCACCCCGCCGCUGGCGGCCGCCUCCCUCCCCUUGAAGCGCCGUCCACCUCGCCGUCGACGACCGCCUCCCUCCCCAUGAAGCGUCGUCCACCCCGCCGUUGAGGGCCGCCUCCACCCCUCCAGACCGGCCACCUCUUCGCUGCGAGCCUAGGACGUCCAGAUCUGCCUACCUCGGCUCUGACUUCCAGAUCCUCCCCCAGAUCCGCCUGCGUGCAAAGGUGACUCCAUCCCCGUCCAGGGCCCCCCUGCUCCUCCUCUCCCUAAUCUGGCUGCCGUGUCAAAUAAUUUUACUUCUGCUGCAGAGCUAGAUCUACUCUUUUGUUAUUCCUUGCUUGUUGUUACUCUGUACAUUGUUGUUUGAGAUCGACCUCAGAUAUUGUUUCAUUAAUAUAGUAUGUUAAUCUUCGCAUAUAUUUCUUCAUGGCUUUGUUCUGCGUUUUAGUUUGUGACAAAGAUUGCCAUGCAUUCUUUGGUGUCAAAUGACCUUGUGUACUGAAAGCUGGUGCAAUAGAAUUACCUUGUACAAUCAUCCAUAUAUUUUAUGGUAAAAGUAAAAGAUUAUUUAUUUCAUUUUUAAUUCUGAACAUGCCUCGUUGUGCAUCUUUAUGUCAGUGUGAAAGGACUUCUAUAGGGAGAGAGAAAUUGCUAUUUAGGAUUGCAAUUUAGUUGUCAAAUCUGUCUACUAUUGCCUUUUUGGUUCACAAUUAGUUUCCAAAUUUAGUACUUAAAUGAUGCUAAUUUUGCUGUUUGAGUAAUCGUGCACUUGUGAUAAAUUCGCUAUGUUUCAGGGGUGGUUCAUGAUCAUCCAUUCAGACCAAAAGCAUGUUGGUAAGUUGCAUUCAGUUUAUGGUGGGAAAGAUGUAUUGCCAUAGGGAAGCUACAAAAUUGAACACUUACAGGUGCAUGGGUAGUUUAUUUGAGUUAUAGGUGAUGGUGCUAUAAGGAAAGCAGUGCUUGUUGCAAAAGCUAGGGAGAAGGAUGUAGGACAAUCACACUCUGUUGUACCAAGAUUUAUUGAGGAAAAAUGUUCAGUUGCAAAGGCACUGCAAAAAUGAUUCUCUUCUGACCAAACAUCUACAAGUAUUGUUCAUCUUUUACUCAUAUUUGCUUUGAUUGUGUUACAGAUCCUGUUGAUGCUUUGCACAUAAACUGAACCAUUUGUUGCACUGUAGUUGGUAUAUGUCAAGAUGGGAUAGGAAAUACCCAAGAGCUUCUUGCUUUUCAUGAUGAGCCAAUGGAUGGUAGUGAUCUGGUAAGUAGUGCUUAUGAUCCGCAAUUCCUCUAUGCAAACUAUUCUUACGUUGAAUUUCACAAGUAUAUCUACGUAUAAUACAUGCAGAUUGUAAUGUAAUCAGAACAGGGUGCGUCAUAGUAGUUCAUGUGUUGAUGAUAAUCUAUGAUAAGAAACAAUCUAUUUGUCUCAUACAAAGGCAGUAUUUCUAGAGUCUCUUGUGAAAGAAAAUCUUACUCUGAUAUAGGCAUAGUUUUUAUGGCUUCAGAGGCUGCUGCCUACUCCCUCUGUCCAUGAAUAAGUGUACAUCUAACUUUUGUCAUGGAGGGAAUAAGUGUCUGUGUAUUUUAAUCAGUGGUUGCUACCUGCUUAAGUGCCUGUGCAUUAUGCGUCUAUUCAUGUACAACUCAAUUGGUGGUGGUUAUCAUACAAAGUUAACUAUUUUUCUCUAUACUUGUAGUGCUAGCCUAAAAAGCCGGACAUGGGGACAUGCUCAGACAUGCGUAUGCCGCCGUAUUUCGUGAUUACGAAUGAAAAAAAGAAUGCAUAGGGAGCAUGUCCUCCCAAUGGCAACCACACCAGACUAGGUAACCUCGACCUCUUUCAUCUAUUUGAAUUUAGUUUUUGUUGAGCUGCUGCUGCUGCUGCUUGCUUCCCCUGUUCGUCAUGCCCUUGCUGCUUCUACUCGCUAGUUGCUUCCCCAUGCUGUUCAUGUGCUGCUGCUGCUUGAUUGCUUGUUGCUUCCCCAUGUUGUGCACGUGCUGCUGCUUGCUUGUUGGUUGCUUCCCUGUUUUGCUGCUGCCUGCUUGUGUCGAACUGUUGAUUGGUGCUUCAUGUUAUGGAACACCAAAUCAUCAAUGGGUGAGAGUGAAUGAGGACAACCUAGACCUGGUACUGACAAUUCGAGACUUUUUCAUUUUAUUCCUGUUACUUCAUGAUUGCAGCCUACACUUGGCACCAAGAUAAGACUUUUUCACUUUCUUGCUAGCAAAUAAUGUGUUUCAUUAGGUGGAUUUUAUAUUUUGGUUUGACAAGUUGUAUAUGUACCAUAGAUUUGCCUUUCACCUUGUUCACUGAAGUCUGCUACAUUUUUUGUUGUAGGGGUGAAUGGAUCCUCCCAAGGCCAAGAGAAUGCUUGUACUCCAUUGACAAAUUCUUCUCAUCCUGAAGAUCUUGCUCAUGCUACACACCUGGAUGAGCGUGGUUCUACUCCAAAGAGGAUAAUCAUUCAGGAAUGCCACUAGCAUAAUUAGUGUUUAAUAUCGUGAACCAGGGUGCAGGUAGCCUUUUAUUUUUUCACUUGCUUCUCUUGGCAAUUCAUGUAAAUUCGUGGCAAAUCAUGUAAGUUGAGGUUCUAUGAAUCAUGAGUUGGGUAUGAAUAUGUGGAUCUUGUGAACAUUGAGCUUUCAAUAUAAUUGGUUCAUUGUGAAUUAUGAAUUGAAUGUGAUUUUCAAAUGCGCUGUGCGACCAUGGUUUG
This 3027-nucleotide long non-coding RNA is filed under the name Triticum aestivum (bread wheat). RNAcentral describes it as "long non-coding RNA (TAES_LNC011182)". The record is from RNAcentral. Lineage: Eukaryota; Viridiplantae; Streptophyta; Magnoliopsida; Poales; Poaceae.